UCUACAGUGAAACUGGCAACUUUGUAAUAAACACCGAUAGGUGAAAUGUCAAAUGUAUUUUUUAAACAAAACAAACGAUCUUGAUUCCACAUCGAAUUUAAAACUCUUGUGAUAAUUUUCUAAAUGUUUGUAGUUUUUCAAUCAACUUCGCGUGAUCGGUGCCCUGAUAGGUUUCAUGGACGUUCAAUUGUUCCUCCGCGGCGAGCAUUUCGGAGGUUCGUUGAAAAUGGAUAAGAAACUGGAUUGUUGAGAAGUUAUUAUGAUCUGGGAGCUAUGAUGGUUGUGAGCCCAGUGAAGUGUUCGGUUGGUGUUUUUCGUUAAAGGAAGUUUCCUACCAUUCAAAUGGACACGAAAGUGCUGAUUGGCUACCGGAGUAAAACAGCGGAAUAACUCCAAUUGUACAAUGACAUGGGUGAACAGGCCAUGAUAAAAGAUUGUCCAGCUGCGCAGUACAUCAAGGAAAUGGAAUCCAGACCACACCGGGUACAACGUAUUCUGGCGAUCAUCAUAUGAAUAGUUUCGUAUGGACGAAUCCUGCUUAAAAUUAGUAUAUGAGUUAUAAAAUAAUGAGACCGUCUGUUCAACCAAUCGGCCACAUCAGGAGCCGAUGUUGGUUCCUGUGCAACUGGAAGGGAGGACCUAAAGAGUCUAUCGAAGAAGUGAGAACCAUCGACAAGACUUGAAGACAUGAGUAUUUAAGAUAAAUUAUGUGUACCUUAUUCAAUAAAUCAAAUUUUAAUAACUCCGGGAAUGGAUAAAUAUAUGUUUUUACUUC
Molecule: long non-coding RNA, 775 nt
Organism: Armigeres subalbatus
Lineage: Eukaryota; Metazoa; Arthropoda; Insecta; Diptera; Culicidae
Exons: 3
Source: RefSeq, a predicted model, not a curated record